This 335-nucleotide ribosomal RNA is filed under the name uncultured bacterium. RNAcentral's name for it is "bacterial SSU rRNA". It matches the Rfam family "Bacterial small subunit ribosomal RNA", at positions 28 to 345 of the family's 1533-position model. The record is from RNAcentral.
GACGAACGCUGGCGGCGUGCCUAACACAUGCAAGUCGAACGCGAGAGGGGGCUUCGGCCCCGAUUGAGUGGCGAACGGGUGAGUAACGCGUGGGGUGACCGUACCUUCGAGUGGGGGAUAACGUCCCGAAAGGGACGCUAAUACCGGCAUAACAUACCUGCUUUUGAAUGGGUGGAGAUCAAAGCCGGGGAUCGCAAGACCUGGCGCUUGAUAGAGGGGCCCGCGUCUGAUUAGCUAGUUGGUGAGGUAACGGCCCACCAAGGCAACGAUCGGUAUCCGGCCUGAGAGGGCGGACGGACACACUGGGACUGAGACACGGCCCAGACUCCUACGGG